GGGUAUAUAGCUCAGUGGUAGAGUACAUGCUUAGCAUGCACGAGGUCCUGGGUUCAAUCCCCAGUACCUCCA
Transfer RNA from Camelus ferus (Wild Bactrian camel), 72 nucleotides. It matches the Rfam family "tRNA". Rfam says of the family: Transfer RNA (tRNA) molecules are approximately 80 nucleotides in length. Their secondary structure includes four short double-helical elements and three loops (D, anti-codon, and T loops). NCBI's taxonomy places the organism in Eukaryota, Metazoa, Chordata, Mammalia, Artiodactyla, Camelidae. The record is from Rfam.